Molecule: ribosomal RNA, 484 nt
Filed under: uncultured bacterium
Lineage: Bacteria
Description: partial 16S ribosomal RNA
Rfam family: Bacterial small subunit ribosomal RNA
Source: RNAcentral
AUUGAACGCUGGCGGCAGGCCUAACACAUGCAAGUCGAGCGGAUGAAGGGAGCUUGCUCCUGGAUUCAGCGGCGGACGGGUGAGUAAUGCCUAGGAAUCUGCCUGGUAGUGGGGGAUAACGUCCGGAAACGGGCGCUAAUACCGCAUACGUCCUGAGGGAGAAAGUGGGGGAUCUUCGGACCUCACGCUAUCAGAUGAGCCUAGGUCGGAUUAGCUAGUUGGUGGGGUAAAGGCCUACCAAGGCGACGAUCCGUAACUGGUCUGAGAGGAUGAUCAGUCACACUGGAACUGAGACACGGUCCAGACUCCUACGGGAGGCAGCAGUGGGGAAUAUUGGACAAUGGGCGAAAGCCUGAUCCAGCCAUGCCGCGUGUGUGAAGAAGGUCUUCGGAUUGUAAAGCACUUUUGGUGGGGAGGAAGGGCAGUAAGUUAAUACCUUGCUGUUUUGACGUUACCAACAGAAUAAGCACCGGCUAACUUCGUG